RNAcentral lists this ribosomal RNA (400 nucleotides) under uncultured bacterium. RNAcentral describes it as "bacterial SSU rRNA". It matches the Rfam family "Bacterial small subunit ribosomal RNA", at positions 355 to 769 of the family's 1533-position model. The record is from RNAcentral.
UCGAGAAUUUUUCACAAUGGGGGCAACCCUGAUGGAGCGACGCCGCGUGGAGGACGAAGGUUUUCGGAUCGUAAACUCCUGUCAUGCGAGAACAAGAAAGUGAUAGUAUCGCAAGAGGAAGAGGCGGCUAACUCUGUGCCAGCAGCCGCGGUAAUACAGAGGCCUCAAGCGUUGUUCGGAUUCAUUGGGCGUAAAGGGUGCGUAGGCGGUUUUGUAAGUCGAAUGUGAAAUCUCGGGGCUUAACUCCGAAACUGCAUUCGAUACUGCAGAACUCGAGGACUGUAGAGGAGAAUGGAAUUCACGGUGUAGCAGUGAAAUGCGUAGAUAUCGUGAGGAAGACCAGUGGCGAAGGCGAUUCUCUGGGCAGUUCCUGACGCUGAGGCACGAAGGCUAGGGGAGC